GCCAGGUGUGGUGGCUCACGCCUGUAAUCCCAGCACUUUGGGAGGCUGAGGCGGGUGGAUCACCUGAGGUCAGGAGUUUGAGACCAGCCUGGCCAACAUGGUGAAACCCCGUCUCUA
RNAcentral lists this non-coding RNA (117 nucleotides) under Nomascus leucogenys (northern white-cheeked gibbon). Lineage: Eukaryota; Metazoa; Chordata; Mammalia; Primates; Hylobatidae. The record is from Rfam by way of RNAcentral.